This 103-nucleotide ribosomal RNA is filed under the name Klebsiella pneumoniae. RNAcentral describes it as "partial 16S ribosomal RNA". It matches the Rfam family "Bacterial small subunit ribosomal RNA", at positions 1 to 96 of the family's 1533-position model. RNAcentral also lists the same sequence under 2 other names. The record is from RNAcentral. Lineage: Bacteria; Pseudomonadati; Pseudomonadota; Gammaproteobacteria; Enterobacterales; Enterobacteriaceae.
UUAAAUUGAAGAGUUUGAUCAUGGCUCAGAUUGAACGCUGGCGGCAGGCCUAACACAUGCAAGUCGAGCGGUAGCACAGAGAGCUUGCUCUCGGGUGACGAGC